AGGGAGGCAUAGUUAGCUGCUACUAAUACAAUAAUUUCUUGGAUCUAAAUCACUGACUCAAAAUAUUUUUUUUUAUUUUUUGAGAGAUAUGUAGUACACUACCCGCUUCGUUUAUUUCAUUCAGAAAUAAACUUAGCUGUAAACGUGAAUCAACUAGGAUUCGAACGUGGGUCUCGAGUACCAACCACCAAGUCCUUUGUUACUUGCUCUAGGGACGGUUAGUCUGGCUCAAAAUGUUAAAGUUGAUCAUUAAUUAGUAGUACUCAUUUGCUAGUGAC
Molecule: long non-coding RNA, 278 nt
Filed under: Ananas comosus (pineapple)
Lineage: Eukaryota; Viridiplantae; Streptophyta; Magnoliopsida; Poales; Bromeliaceae
Description: long non-coding RNA (ACOM_LNC027892)
Source: RNAcentral